Molecule: transfer RNA, 68 nt
Filed under: Scotoplanes sp. TT-2017
Lineage: Eukaryota; Metazoa; Echinodermata; Holothuroidea; Elasipodida; Elpidiidae
Also listed under: 2 other names
Description: tRNA-Phe
Source: RNAcentral
AUUAAAGUAGCUUAAAAAAAGCUUAAUAUUGAAAAUAUUAGAUUGAAAAUUAUUUUUUUCCUUUAAUA